AGGUGAUUUAAGGGAGAGCUUAUGGGACCAAAACCAGGAGUUCUUAACUCUGUGGCCUAAGACUGAGUUUCUCUAUAGGAUGCAAUAGACACUCAAUGGUGCUGUGUUUUCCUGAGGAGAUACAAGA
Molecule: small nucleolar RNA, 127 nt
Organism: Molossus molossus (Pallas's mastiff bat)
Lineage: Eukaryota; Metazoa; Chordata; Mammalia; Chiroptera; Molossidae
Product: small nucleolar RNA SNORA25
Exons: 1
Source: RefSeq, a predicted model, not a curated record